GAUGAACGCUGGCGGCGUGCCUAAUACAUGCAAGUCGAGCGAACAGACGAGGAGCUUGCUCCUCUGACGUUAGCGGCGGACGGGUGAGUAACACGUGGAUAACCUACCUAUAAGACUGGGAUAACUUCGGGAAACCGGAGCUAAUACCGGAUAAUAUAUUGAACCGCAUGGUUCAAUAGUGAAAGACGGUUUUGCUGUCACUUAUAGAUGGAUCCGCGCCGCAUUAGCUAGUUGGUAAGGUAACGGCUUACCAAGGCGACGAUGCGUAGCCGACCUGAGAGGGGGAUCGGCCACACUGGAACGGAGACACGGUCCAGACUCCUACGGGAGGCAGCAGUAGGGAAUCUUCCGCAAUGGGCGAAAGCCUGACGGAGCAACGCCGCGUGAGUGAUGAAGGUCUUCGGAUCGUAAAACUCUGUUAUUAGGGAAGAACAAAUGUGUAAGUAACUAUGCACGUCUUGACGGUACCUAAUCAGAAAGCCACGGCUAACUACGUG
This 497-nucleotide ribosomal RNA is filed under the name uncultured bacterium. RNAcentral's name for it is "partial 16S ribosomal RNA". It matches the Rfam family "Bacterial small subunit ribosomal RNA", at positions 28 to 507 of the family's 1533-position model. The record is from RNAcentral.